Molecule: ribosomal RNA, 771 nt
Filed under: uncultured bacterium
Lineage: Bacteria
Description: bacterial SSU rRNA
Rfam family: Bacterial small subunit ribosomal RNA
Source: RNAcentral
AGAGUUUGAUCCUGGCUCAGGACGAACGCUGGCGGCGUGCUUAACACAUGCAAGUCGAGCGGAAAGGCCCUUCGGGGUACUCGAGCGGCGAACGGGUGAGUAACACGUGAGCAAUCUGCCCUUAGCUUCGGGAUAGCUCCGGGAAACCGGAAUUAAUACCGAAUACGACCACGGCCGACAUCAGCCGUGGUGGAAAGCUUUUACGGCUAGGGAUGAGCUCGCGGCCUAUCAGCUUGUUGGUGAGGUAACGGCCCACCAAGGCGACGACGGGUAGCCGGCCUGAGAGGGCGACCGGCCACACUGGGACUGAGACACGGCCCAGACUCCUACGGGAGGCAGCAGUGGGGAAUAUUGCGCAAUGGGCGAAAGCCUGACGCAGCGACGCCGCGUGCGGGAUGAAGGCCUUCGGGUUGUAAACCGCUUUCAGCAGGGACGAAGCGAAAGUGACGGUACCUGCAGAAGAAGCGCCGGCUAACUACGUGCCAGCAGCCGCGGUAACACGUAGGGCGCAAGCGUUGUCCGGAAUUAUUGGGCGUAAAGAGCUCGUAGGUGGUCCGCCGCGUCUGCUGUGAAAAUCCAGGGCUUAACCCUGGACUUGCAGUGGAUACGGGCGAACUAGAGGUAGGUAGGGGAGAAUGGAAUUCCCGGUGUAGCGGUGAAAUGCGCAGAUAUCGGGAGGAACACCGGUGGCGAAGGCGGUUCUCUGGGCCUUACCUGACACUGAGGAGCGAAAGCGUGGGGAGCGAACAGGAUUAGAUACCCCCGUAGUCC